Molecule: small RNA, 772 nt
Filed under: Pan troglodytes (chimpanzee)
Lineage: Eukaryota; Metazoa; Chordata; Mammalia; Primates; Hominidae
Description: retained intron
Source: RNAcentral
UACAAACCCAUCGCCCCUGCUCCCAGCAGCACCCCUGGCUCCAGCACCCCUGGGCCGGGCACCCCGGUCCCUACAGGUGAGGAUCCAGCUCCACCCCUGCUCGCCUGCCGGGCGGUCGAGGUCUCGAAGAGAAGACGGCCUGAGUUCUGCAAUACUGGGCCUGCCGCCUACCCUCGCUGAGCCUCAGUUUGCUGGCCUGUGAAGUGGGCGUGGUCACGUAAGGGCUUGUAGGUGGAGCGCAGUGGGAGGGAUUUGUCCCUGAAGUUGAUCAGCAUGGAAUGAAGCAUCCUUUGGAGGGAAUCGGGCGAACCCGGUCCUGGGCUUGGAAAAGCUGGGAGGCGGCGUCCCUGCCCCGCGCUGACCUCUUACUCGCGCCUGUUGCUGCAGGAAGCGUCCCGUCGCCGUCGGGCUCAGUGCCAGGAGCCGGCGCUCCUUUUAGACCGCUGUUUAACGACUUUGGACCGCCUUCCAUGGGCUACGUGCAGGCGAUGAAGCCACCCGGCGCCCAGGGCUCCCAGAGCACCUACACGGACCUGCUGUCAGUCAUAGAGGAGAUGGGCAAAGAGAUCCGGCCCACCUAUGCUGGCAGCAAGAGCGCCAUGGAGCGCCUGAAGAGAGGUAAGUGAGGCCAGGCCGCCCUGCUCAGGAAACCGACACUGGACUAUCCUUCAUUAGGGAAGGAAGGACAUCUGGAGGCCACCUGAGCCAAGCCUAGAGGAUGUCCAGUAUUACUACCAGAGAGGUGUUUUGAAUCGAAUUGAAAUUGAGUCCA